Molecule: long non-coding RNA, 482 nt
Filed under: Malus domestica (apple)
Lineage: Eukaryota; Viridiplantae; Streptophyta; Magnoliopsida; Rosales; Rosaceae
Description: long non-coding RNA (MDOM_LNC012331)
Source: RNAcentral
GUCUCUGUGAUCUCACGAGGUAACAGUGAAAGCAAAGGUCUCUGUGAUCUCACGAGGUAACAUUGAAAGCAAAGGAUUCUUAUUUAUAUCAUGCAAUGAGUCCUGACAUGCAAUAGUGACUUCUCCAAGUUUCAAGUAUUAUUUAAUAGAGAAGAUGGGACUCCCCUGGCAAAGAUUGGUGAUAAAGUGCUAAGAUAAGAUGUCAACCACGGGGUUGUUGCAGGAAAAGCGGGUUGAGAUUACCAAUGACAAGAGCAUGAACCACAUAGAUUGUAAAUUUUUCUUGUACAUUUUCGAUUAUUAAUGGAGUGGUUUUCACUAUCAUUAGUUUACAAAAAACAGAACCUGUGUAAGGGGUUUGAUAAUAUGCACCCACAAAAUGAAGAAAAAUAAGUUUUCCUUAUCUUUCUAAAUUAUGUAAAUAUGGAAAUAAGCACAACUGCAUAGGCAGAGUAAUGAAACUCCUUUCAGUCGCAAUACAG